This 383-nucleotide ribosomal RNA is filed under the name Salmonella enterica. RNAcentral describes it as "bacterial SSU rRNA". It matches the Rfam family "Bacterial small subunit ribosomal RNA", at positions 61 to 440 of the family's 1533-position model. Lineage: Bacteria; Pseudomonadati; Pseudomonadota; Gammaproteobacteria; Enterobacterales; Enterobacteriaceae. The record is from RNAcentral.
GACCAACGGCUUCAGGAAGCAGCUUGCUGCUUUGCUGACGAGUGGCGGACGGGUGAGUAAUGUCUGGGAAACUGCCUGAUGGAGGGGGAUAACUACUGGAAACGGUGGCUAAUACCGCAUAACGUCGCAAGACCAAAGAGGGGGACCUUCGGGCCUCUUGCCAUCAGAUGUGCCCAGAUGGGAUUAGCUUGUUGGUGAGGUAACGGCUCACCAAGGCGACGAUCCCUAGCUGGUCUGAGAGGAUGACCAGCCACACUGGAACUGAGACACGGUCCAGACUCCUACGGGAGGCAGCAGUGGGGAAUAUUGCACAAUGGGCGCAAGCCUGAUGCAGCCAUGCCGCGUGUAUGAAGAAGGCCUUCGGGUUGUAAAGUACUUUCAGC